This 727-nucleotide long non-coding RNA is filed under the name Cavia porcellus (domestic guinea pig). RNAcentral's name for it is "lncRNA (ENSCPOG00000039040.1)". Lineage: Eukaryota; Metazoa; Chordata; Mammalia; Rodentia; Caviidae. The record is from RNAcentral.
CUUACUCUGUAGGGUGCAGCUGCAAGCCAGGACACCCAAUGGUCGAGCUUUGCAUUGUGGUCUGAGAAUGACGAGGCCCCCCUGGCCUGCAUGGCUCCUGCGGACCAGCCUCCUCCUGGUGGGAUUGGGAACCAGGGUGCGGACCCCAUGCAAGGAGUGACCGGGAGAUGGGGCCGUGGCCCCUCAGCAGCCUCCCGCAGAUCUCAUGGCAGGAAACACCAAGACCACAUGUGUGCAUAGGUGAAGGGACGUUUCUGUGAGAUUGGGUAAAAUUGGCUGUAGGGUUUGGCACCUUUUUGUGAAGAUCUGGCUGCAGGCGUACUGAGAGGAGUGGAGUCGGGGAAUUGGAGAUGGAGAGGCCCAGCUGGUCAGUGUGCUCGUGAGGGUGGAUGAUGGGCACCCCUGUCCUUGGCCCACCCCAUCGAUGCUCCGCCUGACUCCCCCCGUUCCCACCAGCAUGACAGACGUGACAGGAGGUCUGUGGCCUUGGGGUGCUUUUGCGGAAGGGAGUGCUUGCCCUGACUCCAAGAGUAUAGGAUUGGCCUCGCUGUCGGUCAUGUCUCCUCCAUUGGGAGCUCAGGACUUCCGUCUCCUGUCUCCUCGGGGACAGGGACCUGCUGAACUUGGUACAGUCCGUUUGUGGGCAGCAGCUGUCACUCCAGUGGUGAGCCUGAAGCCCUUGCAUGGAAUGUCCUGGGCAGCCAGCCCCUACUGUCACCACCAGCUG